GGCAGAGAAGAGCAGAGCAAGGAGGGCGGGACCUGUCCCACCAGACAAGGAAUGAAGGUGCGGCUCCAGGAGCUGGAAGAGAACUUUCCCCUCCACCUGCCCUCUUCCCUAGAUCCUCUUCUCCAUUGCCGAGGUGUGGAGAACUCAUCAUGAAUGUGAAGAAAAUGUGAGUUCUGGGAACUGUUGAAACACAUGAGUACUAAUGUCCAGGAGCUCUGGGGCAGCAGUUCUGAGCCAAAGGCAGAAGUGGUGCGUAGCUCAAAAUUAACCCCUGGGCUGUGGAAAGCAGUGGAUGAGGAAGCAACUCAGAGACUGGUCUCAGGACACCAGUGCCUAAUUUCAGAAGAGAAAAAGGGAAACCUUGGGGAGAGAAAUGGUUUUACAGAAAACACACGGAGAAGUUGGGGACAAGCGCCAGCAUCCUAAAUGAACGAGGAGAUGUGACAGAUGACAGAUGCAGAGUUGGUAUGUGUUUAAAAAGGCAUGAAUCACCACACACACACA
Myodes glareolus (Bank vole) is the source of this 504-nucleotide non-coding RNA. Lineage: Eukaryota; Metazoa; Chordata; Mammalia; Rodentia; Cricetidae. The record is from RefSeq and is a predicted model, not a curated record.